GCUGGCCUGUUUCUCACAUUCAUCUUUUCAUAAAGACAUGCAAUGCCUCCUUAAUGGAACUUUCAAUUUUUUUUUUUUUUUCAAUGUAAUCAUUACUCCACCAAUGUAUAUGUGAUGCCUCCUUAAUGGAACCUUCUCUGUUUUCAUGGUUAAAAAUGUUAGUACUAUGAAUAUAAGAAAUGAACAGUCGAUUUAGAGAUGAUGCAGUGUACUUAUUUGUUGUUAGUGCAUCUUUAGAUCCUAUGGAUGGGUGUUGUUUGUCAUUUGAUAUUGAAAAUAUUUACAUGCUUGAAAAUAAAUAUUUGAAAGUUCAAUUGCAACUUUUUCAUAGAUUGAUUUGGCUACUGUUGACUUUGCCUCCACUGCAACAAUAGUGUGUGUGUGUUUUCCACCAUGAAAAUUGUAUUGAGAAAGACAUUGCUAGUUAAUUUGACGUUGAUUCAGUUAUAGAAUUGUGGAUUAUCAUACUUUUGUUUUCAAAGAAGUUGUGCUCUCAUGCGAAGUUGUGUUUUCUAUUUGUGGAUUGAAGUGAAUUAAAUUUCAAAGAAUUUUUGU
RNAcentral lists this unclassified non-coding RNA (555 nucleotides) under Hevea brasiliensis (rubber tree). Lineage: Eukaryota; Viridiplantae; Streptophyta; Magnoliopsida; Malpighiales; Euphorbiaceae. The record is from RNAcentral.